ACUCCUACGGGAGGCAGCAGUAGGGAAUUUUCCGCAAUGGACGAAAGUCUGACGGAGCAAUGCCGCGUGAGUGAUGAAGGUUUUCGAAUCGUAAAGCUCUGUUGUAAGGGAAGAAUAGCAAGAAUAGGAAAUGAUUUCUUGUCUGACGGUUACCUUACCAGAAAAGCCACGGCUAACUACGUGCCAGCAGCCGCGGUAAUACGUAGGUGGCAAGCGUUAUCCGAAUUAUUGGGCGUAAAGCGCAUGUAGGCGGCUCUUUAAGUCUGAUGUG
Molecule: ribosomal RNA, 271 nt
Filed under: uncultured bacterium
Lineage: Bacteria
Description: partial 16S ribosomal RNA
Rfam family: Bacterial small subunit ribosomal RNA
Source: RNAcentral